UAAUCGGAAUUACUGGGCGUAAAGCGCGCGUAGGCGGUUUGUUAAGUCGGAUGUGAAAUCCCCGGGCUCAACCUGGGAAUUGCAUUCGAUACUGGCAAGCUAGAGUAUGGGAGAGGAAGGUAGAAUUCCAGGUGUAGCGGUGAAAUGCGUAGAGAUCUGGAGGAAUACCGAUGGCGAAGGCAGCCUUCUGGCCUAAUACUGACGCUGAGGUGCGAAAGCAUGGGGAGCAAACAGGAUUAGAUACCCUGGUAGUCCAUGCCGUAAACGAUGUCAACUAGCCGUUGGGGGAUUUGAUCCUUUAGUGGCGCAGCUAACGCGAUAAGUUGACCGCCUGGGGAGUACGGUCGCAAGACUAAAACUCAAAUGAAUUGACGGGGGCCCGCACAAGCGGUGGAGCAUGUGGUUUAAUUCGAUGCAACGCGAAGAACCUUACCUGGUCUUGACAUAGUGAGAAUUGGGCAGAGAUGCCCGAGUGCCUUCGGGAAUUCACAUACAGGUGCUGCAUGGCUGUCGUCAGCUCGUGUCGUGAGAUGUUGGGUUAAGUCCCGCAACGAGCGCAACCCUUUUCCUUAUUUGCCAGCACUUUUAGGUGGGAACUCUAAGGAUACUGCCAGUGACAAACUGGAGGAAGGCGGGGACGACGUCAAGUCAUCAUGGCCCUUACGACCAGGGCUACACACGUGCUACAAUGGUCGGUACAAAGGGUUGCUACACAGCGAUGUGAUGCUAAUCUCAAAAAGCCGAUCGUAGUCCGGAUUGGAGUCUGCAACUCGACUCCAUGAAGUCGGAA
RNAcentral lists this ribosomal RNA (790 nucleotides) under uncultured bacterium. RNAcentral's name for it is "bacterial SSU rRNA". It matches the Rfam family "Bacterial small subunit ribosomal RNA", at positions 542 to 1331 of the family's 1533-position model. The record is from RNAcentral.